RNAcentral lists this transfer RNA (70 nucleotides) under bovine gut metagenome. It matches the Rfam family "tRNA". From Rfam's summary of the family: Transfer RNA (tRNA) molecules are approximately 80 nucleotides in length. The record is from RNAcentral. RNAcentral also lists the same sequence under 1 other name.
UGAAAUAGCUCAGUUGGUAGAGCAAUUCACUCGUAAUGAAUAGGUCGCAGGUUCAAGUCCUGUUUUCAGC